Molecule: ribosomal RNA, 465 nt
Filed under: uncultured bacterium
Lineage: Bacteria
Description: partial 16S ribosomal RNA
Rfam family: Bacterial small subunit ribosomal RNA
Source: RNAcentral
CCUACGGGAGGCAGCAGUAGGGAAUCUUACACAAUGGGCGAAAGCCUGAUGGAGCAACGCCGCGGGGGUGAAGAAGGGCUUCGGAUCGUAAACCGCUGUCAGCAGGGAAGAACGGUCACUGUGCUAAUCAGCAGUGAAUUGACGGUACCUGCAAAGGAAGCACCGGCUAACUCCGUGCCAGCAGCCGCGGUAAUACGGAGGGUGCGAGCGUUAAUCGGAAUUACUGGGCGUAAAGCGCUCGUAGGCGGUAUGUCAAGUCAAGGGUGAAAUCCCCGCGCUCAACGUGGGAACUGCCUUUGAAACUGGCAAACUGGAGUGUGUGAGAGGCUAGUGGAAUUCCAGGUGUAGGGGUGAAAUCCGUAGAUAUCUGGAGGAACAUCAGUGGCGAAGGCGACUCUCUGGCACAUAACUGACGCUGAGGAGCGAAAGCGUGGGUAGCAAACAGGAUUAGAUACCCCGGUAGUC